UCGCAUCCCCGCCUGGUACUGUAGGUAUAGGGUCCGGAAUCUCUCUGUCGGUCGUCUGCCGCGAUAAUAAAUCCUCUAACCUCUUUAUCCUGUCUUCCUGUCUUCGAGCGGCAUCCAUCUGCUGUCGCACUGCUGCUGCCUGCUGUGUCACUAGCUCAGUCAACACUGCGAUCUGAUCCUGUAUCUCCCGGACCUCACUGGACCCGAGGUGACGGAAGUCUCCACUUCUUCGGCAGCGGCCGCCUCAGCCGCCCCGGCGGUCUCAGAACGAGUCGUAGGCAUUUUAAGCUGCUACAAACAAAAAA
RNAcentral lists this long non-coding RNA (305 nucleotides) under Ananas comosus (pineapple). RNAcentral's name for it is "long non-coding RNA (ACOM_LNC040687)". The record is from RNAcentral. Lineage: Eukaryota; Viridiplantae; Streptophyta; Magnoliopsida; Poales; Bromeliaceae.